RNAcentral lists this ribosomal RNA (458 nucleotides) under uncultured bacterium. RNAcentral's name for it is "bacterial SSU rRNA". It matches the Rfam family "Bacterial small subunit ribosomal RNA", at positions 340 to 786 of the family's 1533-position model. The record is from RNAcentral.
UACGGGAGGCAGCAGUGGGGAAUAUUGCACAAUGGGCGAAAGCCUGAUGCAGCUAUGCCGCGUGUAUGAAGAAGGCCUUAGGGUUGUAAAGUACUUUCAUCGGGGAGGAAAAACAAAACUAAUAAUUUUAUUUCUUGACGUUACCCGAAAAAGAAGCACCGGCUAACUCCGUGCCAGCAGCCGCGGUAAUACGGAGGGUGCUAGCGUUAAUCAGAAUUACUGGGCGUAAAGAGCACGUAGGUGGUUUUUUUAAGUCAGAUGUGAAAUCCCUGGGCUUAACCUAGGAACUGCAUUUUGAAACUGAAAUACUAGAGUAUCGUAGAGGGAGGUAGAAUUCUAGGUGUAGCGGUGAAAUGCGUAGAUAUCUGGAGGAAUACCUGUGGCGAAAGCGGCCUCCUAAACGAAUACUGACACUGAGGGUGCGAAAAGCGUGGGGAGCAAAACAGGGAUUAGAUACC